CAGCAGUUAAAGUAGACAAAUGGUCCAAUUGUUUACUUUGUUCUUUACCAUCAGGCCUGUUCCCUCUUUAACAGUUUUUGUAGCAAUGUAAUACUGGGUAUAUUUCUUCUAAUUUCCUUUUAGGAUAUUUUGCUUUAAAUAAAUGUGAUUUGCAAAAUGAAUAAGGCAGUGCUCUUCUUUUACUGGAAAUGGAGCAGGGAGCAUGCUCUAAAAAUAUUAAAUAUGUCCCCAUAUUGGAGAAGAUGAUUGUCGACCAAAUGUUUAAAUAAUUAUUGAACUAGUAUAUGG
Pelobates cultripes (western spadefoot toad) is the source of this 288-nucleotide non-coding RNA. The record is from the annotation of a GenBank genome assembly. Lineage: Eukaryota; Metazoa; Chordata; Amphibia; Anura; Pelobatidae.